Small nucleolar RNA from Molossus molossus (Pallas's mastiff bat), 122 nucleotides. RefSeq annotates it as small nucleolar RNA ACA64. The transcript has a single exon. Lineage: Eukaryota; Metazoa; Chordata; Mammalia; Chiroptera; Molossidae. The record is from RefSeq and is a predicted model, not a curated record.
GUUGGUUGAAAAUCACCUGCGGCUUUUGCCGUGGCCGUGGGUGAGAUUCGGCGCCCAGAGCCAUCGGGGCCUCAGCUCACUGCCCACUCGUGUGGGGAGGUGAAACCCAGGCCCCUACACGC